RNAcentral lists this long non-coding RNA (357 nucleotides) under Triticum aestivum (bread wheat). Its description in RNAcentral is "long non-coding RNA (TAES_LNC014522)". Lineage: Eukaryota; Viridiplantae; Streptophyta; Magnoliopsida; Poales; Poaceae. The record is from RNAcentral.
GGCUACAUCGAUGAGCCACUGCUGCCAUUGUUCAACGACACCAGCAAAACUAUGUGUAUGUCUUACAAGAGAACCUGUUUUGGAUGCGUUGGCCUAACUAUGCACAAGGUAUUGUGUUCAUAUGUACUGCCUUAUACCACCUUGUUUGGAAUGCUUUAGACCUUUUGUGCUGCUAGGAAAAUUUAUGACGUAUUAUGCCCCAUGUUAAUUCCUCGAAUUAAAUAUCGCACACAUUCUGCAACUUCAUAAAACCGAGGAUGCCAAUGGCUUCGAUUGUGAAUAUUUCAGCCGUUACUGAGGCAUGACAACGCCGAGCUGGAACUACAAAAAUAAUGGACCCUUCUACGGCACGUGUUC